This 788-nucleotide ribosomal RNA is filed under the name Lepiota omninoflava. RNAcentral describes it as "partial large subunit ribosomal RNA". It matches the Rfam family "Eukaryotic large subunit ribosomal RNA", at positions 145 to 922 of the family's 3401-position model. Lineage: Eukaryota; Fungi; Basidiomycota; Agaricomycetes; Agaricales; Agaricaceae. The record is from RNAcentral.
GUAAUCUAGAGAAGUGUUACCCGCGCUGGACCGUGUACAAGUCUCCUGGAAUGGAGCGUCAUAGAGGGUGAGAAUCCCGUCUCUGACACGGACUACCAGGGCUUUGUGGUAUGCUCUCAAAGAGUCGAGUUGUUUGGGAAUGCAGCUCAAAAUGGGUGGUAAAUUCCAUCUAAAGCUAAAUAUUGGCGAGAGACCGAUAGCGAACAAGUACCGUGAGGGAAAGAUGAAAAGAACUUUGGAAAGAGAGUUAAACAGUACGUGAAAUUGCUGAAAGGGAAACGCUUGAAGUCAGUCGCGUUGGCCGGGGAUCAGCUUCGCAUUUGCGUGGUGUACUUUCCGGUUGACGGGUCAGCAUCAAUUUUGACCGCUGGAAAAAGGCGGGGGGAAUGUGGCAGCUCCGGCUGUGUUAUAGCCCCUUGUCGUAUACAGUGAUUGGGAUUGAGGAACUCAGCACGCCGCAAGGCCGGGUUUCGACCACGUUCGUGCUUAGGAUGCUGGCAUAAUGGCUUUAAGCGACCCGUCUUGAAACACGGACCAAGGAGUCUAACAUGCCUGCGAGUGUUUGGGUGGAAAACUCGAGCGCGCAAUGAAAGUGAAAGUUGAGAUCCCUGUCGCGGGGAGCAUCGACGCCCGGACCAGAACUUUUGGGACGGAUCCGCGGUAGAGCAUGUAUGUUGGGACCCGAAAGAUGGUGAACUAUGCCUGAAUAGGGUGAAGCCAGAGGAAACUCUGGUGGAGGCUCGUAGCGAUUCUGACGUGCAAAUCGAUCGUCAAAUUUGGGUAUAGGG